Cucumis sativus (cucumber) is the source of this 196-nucleotide non-coding RNA. Lineage: Eukaryota; Viridiplantae; Streptophyta; Magnoliopsida; Cucurbitales; Cucurbitaceae. The record is from Rfam.
AUACCUUUCUCGGCCUUUUGGCUAAGAUCAAGUGUAGUAUCUGUUCUUUUCAGUUUAAUAUCUGAUACGUGGGCCAUCGGCCCACACGAUAUUAAAUUUAUUUUUUAUGGGUCAAGGCCCACCGAAGUAGCUUGCUACUUGGGCCUUUGCGCGUCUCCCUUGCCUUGCACUACUGCUUGGGCUUGGCGCAACCCAA